This 75-nucleotide transfer RNA is filed under the name Candidatus Bathyarchaeota archaeon. RNAcentral describes it as "tRNA-Val". It matches the Rfam family "tRNA". From Rfam's summary of the family: Transfer RNA (tRNA) molecules are approximately 80 nucleotides in length. Their secondary structure includes four short double-helical elements and three loops (D, anti-codon, and T loops). RNAcentral also lists the same sequence under 1 other name. The record is from RNAcentral. Lineage: Archaea; Thermoproteati; Candidatus Bathyarchaeota.
GGGCCGGUCGUCUAGUCUGGUUAGGAUGCCACCCUUACGAGGUGGCGGUCGCCGGUUCAAGUCCGGCCCGGCCCA